RNAcentral lists this ribosomal RNA (403 nucleotides) under uncultured bacterium. RNAcentral describes it as "bacterial SSU rRNA". It matches the Rfam family "Bacterial small subunit ribosomal RNA", at positions 97 to 520 of the family's 1533-position model. The record is from RNAcentral.
GGCGGACGGCUGAGUAACGCGUAGGUGACCUACCCCGAAGUGGGGAAUAACUGCCCGAAAGGGUGGCUAAUACCGCAUGUGGUGAUGCGUUCAUUCGCAUCAGUAAAGCCGCAAGGCGCUUCGGGAGGGGCCUGCGUCCGAUUAGCUCGUUGGUGGGGUAACGGCUCACCAAGGCGACGAUCGGUAGGUGGUCUGAGAGGACGAUCACCCAGACUGGGACUGAGACACGGCCCAGACUCCUACGGGAGGCAGCAGUCGGGAAUUUUGCUCAAUGGGGGAAACCCUGAAGCAGCAACGCCGCGUGAGGGAUGAAGGCCUUCGGGUUGUAAACCUCUUUUCUCAGGGAAGAUGAUGACGGUACCUGAGGAAUAAGCCACGGCUAACUACGUGCCAGCCGCCGCGG